RNAcentral lists this ribosomal RNA (643 nucleotides) under uncultured bacterium. Its description in RNAcentral is "bacterial SSU rRNA". It matches the Rfam family "Bacterial small subunit ribosomal RNA", at positions 202 to 842 of the family's 1533-position model. The record is from RNAcentral.
CAAAGGAAGCGAUUCCGGCGGGGGAUGGGCAUGCGGCGCAUUAGCUAGUCGGCGGGGUAACGGCCCACCGAGGCGACGAUGCGUAGGGGUUCUGAGAGGAAGGUCCCCCACACUGGUACUGAGACACGGACCAGACUCCUACGGGAGGCAGCAGUGAGGAAUAUUGGUCAAUGGGCGGGAGCCUGAACCAGCCAAGUCGCGUGAGGGAAGACGGUCCUACGGAUUGUAAACCUCUUUUGCCGGGGAGCAACGGGGUCCUUGCGAGGGCCCGAUGAGAGUACCCGGAGAAAAAGCAUCGGCUAACUCCGUGCCAGCAGCCGCGGUAAUACGGAGGAUGCGAGCGUUAUCCGGAUUUAUUGGGUUUAAAGGGUGCGUAGGCGGGCUGUUAAGUCAGCGGUCAAAUGUCGGGGCUCAACCCCGGCCUGCCGUUGAAACUGGCGGCCUCGAGUGGGCGAGAAGUAUGCGGAAUGCGUGGUGUAGCGGUGAAAUGCAUAGAUAUCACGCAGAACUCCGAUUGCGAAGGCAGCAUACCGGCGCCCUACUGACGCUGAGGCACGAAAGCGUGGGUAUCGAACAGGAUUAGAUACCCUGGUAGUCCACGCAGUAAACGAUGAAUGCUAGCUGUCCGGUUCUACGGGACUGG